AAUCAACGCUGGCGGCGUGCCUCAGACAUGCAAGUCGAACGCGAAAGUCCCCUUCGGGGGGCGAGUAGAGUGGCGCACGGGUGAGUAACACGUAGGUAAUCUACCCCCGAGUGGGGAAUGACUCAGGGAAACUUGAGCUAAUACCGCAUAAUGCAGCGGCACCACAUGGUGACAGUUGUUAAAGCAUUUAUGCGCUUGGGGAGGAGCCUGCGGCAGANAGCUAGUUGGUAAGGUAAUGGCUUACCAAGGCUACGAUCUGUAACCGGCCUGAGAGGGCGGACGGUCACACUGACACUGAAUAACGGGUCAGACUCCUACGGGAGGCAGCAGUCGGGAAUUUUGGGCAAUGGGCGAAAGCCUGACCCAGCAACGCCGCGUGAAGGAUGAAAUC
RNAcentral lists this ribosomal RNA (391 nucleotides) under uncultured bacterium. RNAcentral describes it as "bacterial SSU rRNA". It matches the Rfam family "Bacterial small subunit ribosomal RNA", at positions 32 to 415 of the family's 1533-position model. The record is from RNAcentral.